GGGUGGUUUUGCAGAGGAGAGGAGACAUUUUCACCCUUUUGGAUUGUGACCAAGACACAGGAGACACCUGGACUGGAAAACCAAAGGAGGUGGCUCAGCAUGAAGAGCUUGGUGUGAGAAGGACCAUGGACUGAGUAUCUCAUCCAUGUCACAGUGAUGCCUGCUCCUGGACCAGGACCCACCAUGGGUAAGCUGUGGGAUAAGCUCUGCUCCCAGGAGAUUCACAGCAGGAUACAAGGACAGGAGUGACCAUCCAUCAAGGCACAUUGUCACCAGCGUGGCAGACAGCAAGCCCCAGGUGUGGAGGGGACAAGCUCUCACAAGCUCACAUUUUUGGGCCUGGUUCCUGUUUCACGUGGCAGCAGGGCUGGCCUCGACCCGGUGCCUGCCCCAGCAGAGCAGGACACGGUAGCUUGAAAGGGACUGUCGGGAGCAGAACAGCUGAGAGGCACAGUGAUCCCGCGCGGGUAUAAAUAGAGAC
Molecule: long non-coding RNA, 481 nt
Filed under: Zonotrichia albicollis (white-throated sparrow)
Lineage: Eukaryota; Metazoa; Chordata; Aves; Passeriformes; Passerellidae
Description: lncRNA (ENSZALG00000009006.1)
Source: RNAcentral